This is a small nucleolar RNA of Octodon degus (degu), 81 nucleotides long. The record is from Ensembl. Lineage: Eukaryota; Metazoa; Chordata; Mammalia; Rodentia; Octodontidae.
GAUCAAUGAUGAAAAUAGCCAAAAUCUGAGCAUCAGAAGACCUUCCAGUAUCCCUGAAGCGUGAUCUCUAUAGUUCUGGGA